Molecule: ribosomal RNA, 821 nt
Filed under: uncultured Actinomycetes bacterium
Lineage: Bacteria; Bacillati; Actinomycetota; Actinomycetes
Description: bacterial SSU rRNA
Rfam family: Bacterial small subunit ribosomal RNA
Source: RNAcentral
GGGAUAACACGAGGAAACUCGUGCUAAUACCGGAUACCUUCUUUUGGUCGCAUGGCCAGCUGAAGAAAGAUUUAUCGGUUUGGGAGGGUCUCGCGGCCUAUCAGCUAGUUGGCGGGGUAACGGCCCACCAAGGCAUCGACGGGUAGCUGGUCUGAGAGGACGAUCAGCCACACUGGGACUGAGACACGGCCCAGACUCCUACGGGAGGCAGCAGUGGGGAAUCUUGCGCAAUGGGCGAAAGCCUGACGCAGCAACGCCGCAUGCGGGAUGAAGGCCUUCGGGUUGUAAACCGCUUUCAGCAGGGAAGAAAUUGACGGUACCUGCAGAAGAAGCCCCGGCCAACUACGUGCCAGCAGCCGCGGUAACACGUAGGGGGCGAGCGUUGUCCGGAUUUAUUGGGCGUAAAGAGCUCGUAGGCGGUUCGGUAAGUCGGGUGUGAAACCUCCAGGCUCAACCUGGAGACGCCACCUGAUACUGCUGUGACUAGAGUCCGGUAGGGGAGUGUGGAACUCCUGGUGUAGCGGUGAAAUGCGCAGAUAUCAGGAAGAACACCAGCGGCGAAGGCGGCACUCUGGGCCGGUACUGACGCUGAGGAGCGAAAGCGUGGGUAGCAAACAGGAUUAGAUACCCUGGUAGUCCACGCCGUAAACGUUGGGCACUAGGUGUGGGUCUCAACCAACGAGAUCCGUGCCGCAGCUAACGCAUUAAGUGCCCCGCCUGGGGAGUACGGCCGCAAGGCUAAAACUCAAAGGAAUUGACGGGGCCCCGCACAAGCGGCGGAGCAUGUUGCUUAAUUCGAGGCAACGCGAAGAACCUUACCU